GGUUGAUCCUGCCAGUAGUCAUAUGCUUGUCUCAAAGAUUAAGCCAUGCAUGUCUAAGUAUAAACAACUUUAUACUGUGAAACUGCGAACGGCUCAUUACAUCAGCAAUAAUUUAUUUGAUGGUUCCUUACUACAUGGAUAACUGUAGUAAUUCUAGAGCUAAUACAUGCGCAAAGUCCCGACUCUCGCGGGGAGGGAUGUAUUUAUUAGAUAAAAAACCAAUGGGCUUCGGUCCUUUUGUGUUGAAUCAUAGUAACUUAUCGGACGGCAUAGCUUUACGCUGGCCGCAGAU
This 292-nucleotide ribosomal RNA is filed under the name uncultured eukaryote. RNAcentral's name for it is "partial 18S ribosomal RNA". It matches the Rfam family "Eukaryotic small subunit ribosomal RNA", at positions 6 to 295 of the family's 1831-position model. The record is from RNAcentral.